ACUCCUACGGGAGGCAGCAGUGGGGAAUAUUGCACAAUGGGCGCAAGCCUGAUGCAGCAACGCCGUGUGAGUGAAGAAGGUUUUCGGAUCGUAAAACUCUGUCCUAAGGGAAGAAACAAAUGACGGUACCUUAGGAGGAACGCCCCGGCUAACUACGUGCCAGCAGCCGCGGUAAUACGGUAGGGGGCAAGCGUUAUCCGGAAUCACUGGGCGUAAAGGGUGCGUAGGCGGCUUAGCAAGCCAGGGGUGAAAGGCAUUGGCUCAACCAAUGUAAGCCUUUGGAACUGUUAAGCUUGAGUGCAGGAGAGGUAAGUGGAAUUCCUAGUGUAGAGGUGAAAUUCGUAGAUAUUAGGAGGAACACCAGUGGCGAAGGCGACUUACUGGACUGUAACUGACGCUGAUGCACGAAAGCGUGGGUAGCGAACAGGAUUAGAUACCCUGGUAGACUGUCA
This 452-nucleotide ribosomal RNA is filed under the name uncultured bacterium. Its description in RNAcentral is "bacterial SSU rRNA". It matches the Rfam family "Bacterial small subunit ribosomal RNA", at positions 335 to 802 of the family's 1533-position model. The record is from RNAcentral.